This 1253-nucleotide ribosomal RNA is filed under the name Bacillus velezensis. Its description in RNAcentral is "bacterial SSU rRNA". It matches the Rfam family "Bacterial small subunit ribosomal RNA", at positions 104 to 1343 of the family's 1533-position model. Lineage: Bacteria; Bacillati; Bacillota; Bacilli; Caryophanales; Bacillaceae. The record is from RNAcentral.
GGGUGAGUAACACGUGGGUAACCUGCCUGUAAGACUGGGAUAACUCCGGGAAACCGGGGCUAAUACCGGAUGGUUGUCUGAACCGCAUGGUUCAGACAUAAAAGGUGGCUUCGGCUACCACUUACAGAUGGACCCGCGGCGCAUUAGCUAGUUGGUGAGGUAACGGCUCACCAAGGCGACGAUGCGUAGCCGACCUGAGAGGGUGAUCGGCCACACUGGGACUGAGACACGGCCCAGACUCCUACGGGAGGCAGCAGUAGGGAAUCUUCCGCAAUGGACGAAAGUCUGACGGAGCAACGCCGCGUGAGUGAUGAAGGUUUUCGGAUCGUAAAGCUCUGUUGUUAGGGAAGAACAAGUGCCGUUCAAAUAGGGCGGCACCUUGACGGUACCUAACCAGAAAGCCACGGCUAACUACGUGCCAGCAGCCGCGGUAAUACGUAGGUGGCAAGCGUUGUCCGGAAUUAUUGGGCGUAAAGGGCUCGCAGGCGGUUUCUUAAGUCUGAUGUGAAAGCCCCCGGCUCAACCGGGGAGGGUCAUUGGAAACUGGGGAACUUGAGUGCAGAAGAGGAGAGUGGAAUUCCACGUGUAGCGGUGAAAUGCGUAGAGAUGUGGAGGAACACCAGUGGCGAAGGCGACUCUCUGGUCUGUAACUGACGCUGAGGAGCGAAAGCGUGGGGAGCGAACAGGAUUAGAUACCCUGGUAGUCCACGCCGUAAACGAUGAGUGCUAAGUGUUAGGGGGUUUCCGCCCCUUAGUGCUGCAGCUAACGCAUUAAGCACUCCGCCUGGGGAGUACGGUCGCAAGACUGAAACUCAAAGGAAUUGACGGGGGCCCGCACAAGCGGUGGAGCAUGUGGUUUAAUUCGAAGCAACGCGAAGAACCUUACCAGGUCUUGACAUCCUCUGACAAUCCUAGAGAUAGGACGUCCCCUUCGGGGGCAGAGUGACAGGUGGUGCAUGGUUGUCGUCAGCUCGUGUCGUGAGAUGUUGGGUUAAGUCCCGCAACGAGCGCAACCCUUGAUCUUAGUUGCCAGCAUUCAGUUGGGCACUCUAAGGUGACUGCCGGUGACAAACCGGAGGAAGGUGGGGAUGACGUCAAAUCAUCAUGCCCCUUAUGACCUGGGCUACACACGUGCUACAAUGGACAGAACAAAGGGCAGCGAAACCGCGAGGUUAAGCCAAUCCCACAAAUCUGUUCUCAGUUCGGAUCGCAGUCUGCAACUCGACUGCGUGAAGCUGGAAUCGCUAGUAAUC